RNAcentral lists this ribosomal RNA (250 nucleotides) under uncultured bacterium. RNAcentral's name for it is "partial 16S ribosomal RNA". It matches the Rfam family "Bacterial small subunit ribosomal RNA", at positions 355 to 622 of the family's 1533-position model. The record is from RNAcentral.
UAGGGAAUCUUGGACAAUGGGCGAAAGCCUGAUCCAGCCAUGCCGCGUGUGUGAUGAAGGCCUUAGGGUUGUAAAGCACUUUCGCUAGGGAAGAUAAUGACGGUACCUAGAUAAGAAGCCCCGGCUAACUUCGUGCCAGCAGCCGCGGUAAUACGAAGGGGGCUAGCGUUGUUCGGAAUUACUGGGCGUAAAGCGCACGUAGGCGGCAUUCCAAGUUGGAGGUGAAAUCCCCGGGCUUAACCUGGGAACU